RNAcentral lists this long non-coding RNA (1755 nucleotides) under Homo sapiens (human). RNAcentral describes it as "HSALNT0340701". The record is from RNAcentral. Lineage: Eukaryota; Metazoa; Chordata; Mammalia; Primates; Hominidae.
AAUGUUUGCAUUUUAUAAUUCUAUAAUAUUCUUGUUAUAGCAGCCCAAACAGACUAAGACAAAUGACUAGACAACAAGUCAGAAAGGAUGCAGAAGAACUGAACAACACAAGCAACCAACAGAAUCUAAUUGGCUGAUGAAGUUGCAGGCAUUCAGUUUUCACUGGGAAUGUCCUCCAGACGGAUGUGUAAGAAGGCCAGGGUCAGGCUUCAGGAGCACCUAGGCAGGUUCACACUUGACACCUGUCACUCGUCACUCACCCGCCAGCCCACUGCCUGGUCAACGUAAGGCUGUCUCCUUGCGGAGACUGGCUCAGCACUGAAGUAAUGGAGCUGUCUUUCUGUCUGUCUGGCUUGUGGUUUAGAGCAGGAAAGAUGGAGAGGCAUCCAGCCAACUAGCACAGAAUGUUGCGAAAACUUGGCCCACGGGAUUCCAGAGCCUGUGUCCUCUGCUAUGGCACGGAGAGGACUUCUGUGCACACACGUCCCCAGUGAGCCAUUUCCCCUGAGUGGUUCCCUCUUUCUGCCCUUUGCCCUGCAUUUUCACAGAAAGGUUUGAGCUCAAUUUACAACCUCAGUGGGCCAGGGACUGUAGUGAAUGAAGGGAGUGACUGAGAGCAUUGUGGGGCAGUCCUGCCCCCUGGUGGGCAGCGUCACUUACUACAGAAGGCCGUAUUUUAAAACUUUAUUUGCAAAGAUGAGGGCUGCAUAUGUUAGUGGCUAGGUUCAAAAUGGAAAGCUAGUGAAAUGGAAAAUUUAGUGGUUAGAAAUGUGGAUGCUGGAGCCACGUUGCCUGGCUUCAAAUCUUGGCUCUGCCUUGUAUACACUCUAGUACAAUGACAAGUUAUUUAGCUUCUCCCAUUUGUCAAAUGGGAAAAGCAAUCAGGCUUACAUGCCAAGAUUGUGGUGAGAAUCAGAUGAGUUAGUACACAUUAAGUGAUUCAGAUGUUGCCUGGCAAGGAAUCUUCACUAAAUAAUAUCUAGAUAGAGUUACCUUUAAAAAUUAUUGAAUAGGAUUUUCUGUAAUCCCCAUGAAGUCAUUUGACAGGAUUUGUGGAUGUUCAGCAUCUCAAACUGUGAAACAUUGAGACCCAUUUCCCAUAUGACUAGUUUAUCCUCUGUAAUAGUGAUCACACAGGACAGGGGUUGGUAAGCUUUUCAAAGGGUCAAGGUGAACUCCUCGUACUGCUGGGGCCGAGGCUGCCCCCAUCUUCACGUGACUGAUGCAUUGGUCUGGGGGUCUCCCGUCUCAGUGCACAUAACAGCUCACAUCAUCACUAUGGUAAGUUCCUUCAGGCAGGACAGUGCAGACCCUUCUCCCUUUCCUACUAUGCAACUUCCUCACCCCCCUUUGUGCUCCCCACCCACAUUUCAGCCAUCUUUACCAUCUGUCUAUAACUAUAAAGAAAUACCAGGAGAUAAAACAAAAGAAAUUUCCUUUAUGAGGUGAUGAAAAUCUUCUAAAAUUGAUUGCAGUGAUGGUGGAUAUACUAAAAACCAUUGAAUCGUACACUUCAAAUAUGUGAAUUGCACAGUAUGUGCAUUAUGUCUCAAUAAAGCUAUUAUAAAAGAAUCUAAAAGGAGACUAAAGACAAACUCAAGAGGCCUCAGUGUAUGGGCCAUCAUCCUUAGAUCUCUGCACACAGAUUGCUGGGGGAACAAUGGCCUUACAGUGCCAAAGUGGCUAUGGUCUUGAGACAUGUCAUUUUCGAGACCUAGACUUGGGAAUCAACGUGAAAAUAAACUUCAUUGGCUA